UGGGGAAUAUUGCACAAUGGGCGAAAGCCUGAUGCAGCGACGCCGCGUGAGCGAUGAAGGCCUUCGGGUCGUAAAGCUCUGUCCUAAGGGAAGAAUUUUGACGGUACCUUAGGAGGAAGCCCCGGCUAACUACGUGCCAGCAGCCGCGGUAAUACGUAGGGGGCAAGCGUUAUCCGGAAUCACUGGGCGUAAAGGGUGCGUAGGCGGCUCUUCAAGUCAGGGGUGAAAGGCUACGGCUCAACCGUAGUAAGCCUUUGAAACUGUAGAGCUUGAGUGCAGGAGAGGAGAGUGGAAUUCCUAGUGUAGCGGUGAAAUGCGUAGAUAUUAGGAGGAACACCAGUGGCGAAGGCGACUCUCUGGACUGUAACUGACGCUGAGGCACGAAAGCGUGGGGAGCAAACAGGAUUAGAAACCCUGGUAG
Molecule: ribosomal RNA, 421 nt
Filed under: uncultured bacterium
Lineage: Bacteria
Description: bacterial SSU rRNA
Rfam family: Bacterial small subunit ribosomal RNA
Source: RNAcentral